RNAcentral lists this ribosomal RNA (283 nucleotides) under uncultured prokaryote. RNAcentral's name for it is "partial 16S ribosomal RNA". It matches the Rfam family "Bacterial small subunit ribosomal RNA", at positions 524 to 817 of the family's 1533-position model. The record is from RNAcentral.
UACGUAGGGGGCUAGCGUUAUCCGGAAUUACUGGGCGUAAAGGGUGCGUAGGUGGUUUCUUAAGUCAGGGGUGAAAGGCUACGGCUCAACCGUAGUAAGCCUUUGAAACUGGGAAACUUGAGUGCAGGAGAUGAGAGUGGAAUUCCUAGUGUAGCGGUGAAAUGCGUAGAUAUUAGGAGGAACACCAGUUGCGAAGGCGGCUCUCUGGACUGUAACUGACGCUGAGGCACGAAAGCGUGGGGAGCAAACAGGAUUAGAUACCCGGGUAGUCCCUGAGCGGGCU